UGCGCCCGCUGACGACCGGCGCACGGGUGCGUAACGCGUAUGCAAUCUACCUUUUACAGGGGGAUAGCCCAGAGAAAUUUGGAUUAAUACCUCAUAGUAUAUGGCCUUGGCAUCAAGGCCAUAUUAAAGAUUUAUCGGUAAAAGAUGAGCAUGCGUUCUAUUAGCUGGAUGGUAAGGUAACGGCUUACCAUGGCGACGAUAGAUAGGGGCCCUGAGAGGGGGAUCCCCCACACUGGUACUGAGACACGGACCAGACUCCUACGGGAGGCAGCAGUGAGGAAUAUUGGACAAUGGGCGGGAGCCUGAUCCAGCCAUGCCGCGUGCAGGAAGACUGCCCUAUGGGUUGUAAACUGCUUUUGUACAGGAAGAAACACUCCCUCGUGAGGGAGCUUGACGGUACUGUAAGAAUAAGGAUCGGCUAACUCCGUGCCAGCAGCCGCGGUAAUACGGAGGAUCCAAGCGUUAUCCGGAAUCAUUGGGUUUAAAGGGUCCGUAGGUGGAUGAUUAAGUCAGAGGUGAAAUCCUGCAGCUCAACUGUAGAAUUGCCUUUGAUACUGGUUGUCUUGAAUUAUUGUGAAGUAGUUAGAAUAUGUGGUGUAGCGGUGAAAUGCAUAGAUAUCACAUAGAAUACCGAUUGCGAAGGCAGAUUACUAACAAUACAUUGACACUGAUGGAGGAAAGCGUGGGGAGCGAACAGGAUUAGAUACCCUG
This 711-nucleotide ribosomal RNA is filed under the name uncultured Bacteroidota bacterium. Its description in RNAcentral is "bacterial SSU rRNA". It matches the Rfam family "Bacterial small subunit ribosomal RNA", at positions 80 to 789 of the family's 1533-position model. Lineage: Bacteria; Pseudomonadati; Bacteroidota. The record is from RNAcentral.